AUCAUUUAUAAAUAAAAUACUUUAUUAUAGUGUUAAUAAUGAAAACUUGUAGUUACUGAAAGAUAAGAGAGAGAAUCGGACAAGGUGUAGCGUGUCAACAUCAACCAAGGUGGACGUCUUGUUUAUUGUUGUUAAUUUUGUUAGUAAAUGUUAAUUUGUGGGCCUUCCUCCCUCCCUCGUGUUUACUGCUCCAAUUGGUUGUUACUGUAGUGUUAAGACAACUACCAUAUUGCUGCCUCGCUGAUCAUGGUUAAUGAAGUUCCUCGUGUCAUUGUCUAGGACGGUGACGUGAAGAUGUAAGACAUGGGCCACAAGACGAAGGUUUGUUUUGGUUAACAGGUCUCUUGCUGCACCACAUUGGAAGCUUUCUGCUAUAACAUAAGGUACAGUACAGUGUAUAUCUUUGUGGUUUUAGUUUUUAUUAAGGAUCUGGGAUCACCGUUUAAAAAUUCAAGUAAUUG
Molecule: long non-coding RNA, 461 nt
Organism: Homarus americanus (American lobster)
Lineage: Eukaryota; Metazoa; Arthropoda; Malacostraca; Decapoda; Nephropidae
Exons: 3
Source: RefSeq, a predicted model, not a curated record